This 509-nucleotide ribosomal RNA is filed under the name uncultured bacterium. RNAcentral describes it as "partial 16S ribosomal RNA". It matches the Rfam family "Bacterial small subunit ribosomal RNA", at positions 29 to 523 of the family's 1533-position model. The record is from RNAcentral.
AUUGAACGCUGGCGGCAUGCCUUACACAUGCAAGUCGAACGGCAGCGGGGGAGAAGCUUGCUUUUCCUGCCGGCGAGUGGCGAACGGGUGAGUAAUACAUCGGAACGUGCCCUGUAGUGGGGGAUAACUAGUCGAAAGAUUAGCUAAUACCGCAUACGACCUGAGGGUGAAAGUGGGGGACCGCAAGGCCGCAUGCUAUAGGAGCGGCCGGGGUCUGCUUAGCUAGUUGGUGGGGGUAAAGGCCUACCAAGGCGACGAUCAGUAGCUGGUCUGAGAGGACGAUCAGCCACACUGGGACUGAGACACGGCCCAGACUCCUACGGGAGGCAGCAGUGGGGAAUUUUGGACAAUGGGCGAAAGCCUGAUCCAGCAAUGCCGCGUGUGUGAAGAAGGCCUUCGGGUUGUAAAGCACUUUUGUCCGGAAAGAAAUGGCUCUGGUUAAUACCUGGGGUCGAUGACGGUACCGGAAGAAUAAGGACCGGCUAACUACGUGCCAGCAGCCGCGGUAA